RNAcentral lists this long non-coding RNA (265 nucleotides) under Brassica napus (rape). RNAcentral describes it as "long non-coding RNA (BNAP_LNC013130)". Lineage: Eukaryota; Viridiplantae; Streptophyta; Magnoliopsida; Brassicales; Brassicaceae. The record is from RNAcentral.
GACUGGAGUUUUCAGUUCCAUUCCCAUCAGAAUAUUUUAGGCGCUAAGCUUAUUGCUAGAACUGUCAUCAUGGAGGAUCGUUUUAAAUCAUACAUUGAUGUGGGAUAUCCUUCUUGGCUUAGUCAUCUCUUUUGUUAAUCUUUGUCUUUUGAUUGAAGAAGAUCUUUUAAACAUUUGUAAUAUCAAUAUUCAAUGAGGUAAUAGUGUUAAAAAGAUCUAUGAAGCAUCAGAUACAACUCAGCUUAUCAGGGAGCGAUGGGAACUU